CAGGAAGACGAACUGAAGCUCUUCGUGAGAUCAUUGCUUCACCAAGAGGACGAUGCCAAGUUAAAGGACGAGCUGAGGGAAGUGCUUGAGGUGAUGGAUGAGUCGCCGGGUUUCGAACUGUGUCGGAUGUUCACGCUGGGUCGAGCACGCAUCUUGGACAUCUUCAGUUUCAUGGCGACGUAUCUCAUCAUUCUCCUUCAAUUCCGCGUCAAUGAGGCGUGCGGGAUGGAGGGGCCGGGGAACUCCACGCUGGAGUUUUAGAUCCGACGACUCGGGUACAAAGGGUCAGCGAUAGGAGCCAGAAACUAGAAUAAUGAUGAUUGUAGUCUUAUGAGUCCAAUUCCAUUAAGUCUGAGUGUACCAUAAUCACAUAAAUGCACUUGUCAGCGUGGAACGUCGUCUGUAUUCUAAAAAGUAAGAAGUGUUUGUUGUAUUCC
This is a long non-coding RNA of Eriocheir sinensis (Chinese mitten crab), 437 nucleotides long. RefSeq lists it as uncharacterized. The transcript is spliced from 3 exons. NCBI's taxonomy places the organism in Eukaryota, Metazoa, Arthropoda, Malacostraca, Decapoda, Varunidae. The record is from RefSeq and is a predicted model, not a curated record.